UGUGCCCAAAGCAAACACCAGUCAUGUUAAAACAGCGGCGAGUAUCGCGAUCAAUGCGCUCGUCUCUACCUGAAGCAUGGCACA
RNAcentral lists this small nucleolar RNA (84 nucleotides) under Drosophila grimshawi. Its description in RNAcentral is "snoRNA:GH25882". The record is from RNAcentral. Lineage: Eukaryota; Metazoa; Arthropoda; Insecta; Diptera; Drosophilidae.